RNAcentral lists this ribosomal RNA (497 nucleotides) under uncultured bacterium. RNAcentral's name for it is "partial 16S ribosomal RNA". It matches the Rfam family "Bacterial small subunit ribosomal RNA", at positions 28 to 507 of the family's 1533-position model. The record is from RNAcentral.
GAUGAACGCUGGCGGCGUGCCUAAUACAUGCAAGUCGAGCGAACGGACGAGAAGCUUGCUUCUCUGAUGUUAGCGGCGGACGGGUGGGUAACACGUGGAUAACCUACCUAUAAGACUGGGAUAACUUCGGGAAACCGGAGCUAAUACCGGAUAAUAUUUUGAACCGCAUGGUUCAAAAGUGAGAGACGGUCUUGCUGUCACUUAUAGAUGGAUCCGCGCUGCAUUAGCUAGUUGGUAAGGUAACGGCUUACCAAGGCAACGAUGCAUAGCCGACCUGAGAGGGUGAUCGGCCACACUGGAACUGAGACACGGUCCAGACUCCUACGGGAGGCAGCAGUAGGGAAUCUUCCGCAAUGGGCGAAAGCCUGACGGAGCAACGCCGCGUGAGUGAUGAAGGUCUUCGGAUCGUAAAACUCUGUUAUUAGGGAAGAACAUAUGUGUAAGUAACUGUGCACAUCUUGACGGUACCUAAUCAGAAAGCCACGGCUAACUACGUG